RNAcentral lists this ribosomal RNA (485 nucleotides) under uncultured bacterium. RNAcentral's name for it is "partial 16S ribosomal RNA". It matches the Rfam family "Bacterial small subunit ribosomal RNA", at positions 29 to 523 of the family's 1533-position model. The record is from RNAcentral.
AGUGAACGCUGGCGGCGUGCUUAACACAUGCAAGUCGAACGAGAACGGAAUAUAGCUUGCUAUAUUUGUCAGCUAAGUGGCGCACGGGUGAGUAUUGUAUAGAUAACCUGCCCUUAAGAAAGGAAUAACAGUUGGAAACGACUGCUAAUGCCCUAUAUGCCUUUAAUACAUAAGUAUGCAAGGGAAACGCUUUAGUGCUUAAGGAUGGGUCUGUAUGGUAUCAGCUUGUUGGUGAGGUAAUGGCACACCAAGGCUAUGACGCCUAACUGGUUUGAGAGGAUGAUCAGGCACACUGGAACUGAGACACGGUCCAGACUCCUACGGGAGGCAGCAGUGGGGAAUAUUGCACAAUGGACGAAAGUCUGAUGCAGCAACGCCGCGUGGAGGAUGACACAUUUCGGUGCGUAAACUCCUUUUAUAUAGGAAGAUAAUGACGGUACUAUAUGAAUAAGCACCGGCUAACUCCGUGCCAGCAGCCGCCGUAA